GGCGGCAAACGAGGCGGUAAUAAGGCUGCGCUACUUCGACAAAGACAUAAUUUGUAGCCGUGCGCCAGCCGGCACCGAUCAAAUGCCUUGUUGCGAUCGCCCCAUCGAAGAUGACCCGGUGAAGUCCUUUCGUCUGUGGGUCGCACACGCCCUCAGCAGCGGCGCGCCUGACGCGUGUUCUCAAUUUCAACACCGGUGCUCCAGUAGACAAUACCUCGUCGGCAUAUCAUAAGAGGAGGGCACACACCAGCAAAUGAACCGGAGGAAAGCUUCCUGCUCGAAAUCUCUGGUGGCGUGCGCAGAGACUGCGUCAUCCAAGAAGAAAUGGAGCUCUCCCCUGUGAUGGUGGAAGACAGGCAGGGUGAUGUUCUGGCUGAGGUUCCCGUUCUUUGAAUACACAAUUGAAAAUCGA
Dermacentor albipictus is the source of this 412-nucleotide non-coding RNA. NCBI's taxonomy places the organism in Eukaryota, Metazoa, Arthropoda, Arachnida, Ixodida, Ixodidae. The record is from RefSeq and is a predicted model, not a curated record.